GAGUUUGAUCCUGGCUCAGAUUGAACGCUGGCGGCAGGCCUAACACAUGCAAGUCGAGCGGUAGAGAGAAGCUUGCUUCUCUUGAGAGCGGCGGACGGGUGAGUAAUGCCUAGGAAUCCGCCUGGUAGUGGGGGAUAACGCUCGGAAGCGGACGCUAAUACCGCAUACGUCCUACGGGAGAAAGCAGGGGACCUUCGGGCCUUGCGCUAUCAGAUGAGCCUAGGUCGGAUUAGCUAGUUGGUGAGGUAAUGGCUCACCAAGGCGACGAUCCGUAACUGGUCUGAGAGGAUGAUCAGUCACACUGGAACUGAGACACGGUCCAGACUCCUACGGGAGGCAGCAGUGGGGAAUAUUGGACAAUGGGCGAAAGCCUGAUCCAGCCAUGCCGCGUGUGUGAAGAAGGUCUUCGGAUUGUAAAGCACUUUAAGUUGGGAGGAAGGGCAGUAAAUUAAUACUUUGCUGUUUUGACGUUACCGACAGAAUAAGCACCGGCUAAUUCUGUGCCAGCACG
RNAcentral lists this ribosomal RNA (511 nucleotides) under uncultured bacterium. Its description in RNAcentral is "bacterial SSU rRNA". It matches the Rfam family "Bacterial small subunit ribosomal RNA", at positions 9 to 515 of the family's 1533-position model. The record is from RNAcentral.